GGUCACCCACUUACUCCUGGCAGGCAGGCUGCUGCCCUGGGCAGUACACUUGGAAUUGCACUGGUAGGAGGAGCACUGACAGGUGCUAUUCUAAAGCUGCCCUUCUUGGGACAAGUAUCUGACCAGAACUGCUUUGAUGACUCUGCUUAUUGGGAGGUUCCAGAAGAGGAGAUAGUAUCYGAAAUUCACUCCAGCCACCGUGAUGAGCACAGCAGAUUUGAAGCUGCCAUGUAGAACAUUAAUUAAUCUGCAAUAUUUGUCCUAAUGAUACUCUUGUACGUUUCUAAUGCUGAGAAACAAUAAAACAACCUCCAAGUAUUGUCCUAACCACACCAGGUUUUUAAGAAAGGGCUGUAGAUAGCUAUAUUUUUGUAAURGAAAACAAGCUUGAUUUUAGGUUACUUACAUAGGUUAUGCCAAGCUCAGGUGAAUCAAUUAGGUCCUUCUAACAUAUUUGAUCAUCAGGAAGAUGCACCACAAACUGGUCUUUGAAACUAUAUAUAUUUUGUCUUUUCUUGUCACUGACAACAAUGUGCUGUUGUAAUAAACUUUGGGUUUCAAGGUUAUUACAGGAUAAUAUAUUUAACUGGAAGAUUUCUGAGUCACAUCCUUCAGCUGCAUAGGAAUUMAUUCAAGAAGAAAUGAACUGACAUUUUUUAUUUGGAUUUGAACAAACUUUUCACCAGAGCAUCCCAGAUUAACUUUUUAAGAAAGUGUGUUGUCUUGUUUUCAGGUGGGAGAGAAAAUGUGCUGCAUAAAAUGUGCUUCAUUUUGAGAGUUGAUUGUGACAGAAAACAAAAUGUUGAAAUAAUUCUCAUGGCAAAGCACAGAAUAUAGUGAGUGAUGAGGCAAUAUGAUUAUCAAUAUUCAUUGUUAAUAUGUUUAUUGAAAGGGAAAAGAAGGUGAAAUUGUAAAAAAAAAUAUUAUUGUCAUAGAUUUAUUUAUUUUCAUAGAUUUAGUUAGUCUCAAGGACACAAUAAAGGAACUGAGUAGGAGCUAUGAAAAUCAGGUGAUUGCAUAACAGGUCUCACUCUAUCCAACAGUAGUAACUGGAUUGURGCAGUGUUGAUGCCUAUAAAUGUAACCUGAACCAAUGCCAGCUCGAGAAAAACAUGAAUUGUUUGGAAUUUGUUGGAAAGAAAAUAUGUUCAACCUACAGAAGACUCAGCAGAGAACUUCCAUGGGGUGAGUCACUGACUCUGAAAUCUCCUAAAAGUGAAAGCAGAAAGAAGAAAAUUGAAGCUAAUUUAGGAAGAAAUAAUUCCACCCGAGAAGUGAUGACAGUGACUGCGCAUUUCAGAGAGGCAAAAAUUGAGGUAGCUGAAGGAAUUCCAUGGUGUGCCUAUGAGCAUGGGAUAAUCCACUAAAAGGGAAUGCUUGGGAAGUGGAAAUCUAAGAAGGACCAUGGUGCCUCAAUCCGUCAUUGAGACACAGAAAGCUACGGCUGCUGUCUCCGAASAACAAAAUGGGUGAACUUUCAAGAUUUUUUUUUUAUAUUAGGAACUUUUUUCAAGUCUUACUUAUCAGAACUAAGGGGGGAGAACCCCUCUCAUAUAAAAUAGCCCAUUUAYUUUCAGUUUUGUUGAUGUGUUUUUCCUUGAAAAACUUUAGAAAGAUACUAGGCAGGGCUGUGCCAUAUGUUAUACCUGCUGUAUACUGCUACAUAUGUCAGAUUUCUGUCCAUGAAUAAAAAUACAUUUGUUUUAUCACACUUCAGUUCAGAUAAGCUCUUUUGCAGAUGUGCAAUGACUGACUCUCUUUACCUUGUUGAUUGCAAGACAUUCUUUAUCCUCUCAAAGCUUUCACACGUUCAUUUUUGUAAAAACUGAGGAGGCAUUUGACAAUGUAAGUAUCGCAUUUGUAAAGAUUUUACAAGUAUUGUGUGCAUAGUUUACAAAGUGUUGAAGUACUUGAAAAAGAUUCCAUCUGUGGACAGCCUGCAAUAAUCUUAUCUUCAAUAUGUGAAUUUCACCCUUCAAAUUCCCACUUGGGAAUUGAGAGGGUUUUUCAUUCACCUUCAAGGGGUGAGAUAAUUUCACCAGCUUUGAGUGCUGACCACAGUGGAAUACCCGAGUGAGGAGGCACCACUCACUGCCAGUAAAUCUCUGAAUUAUAGAAUCCUUAAGGUUGGAAAAUAUUUCCAAGAUCAUCAAGUACAACYGUCAAUGGAUUAUCAUCAUGGCCAGUAAAUCACAUUUGAAAGAUGUGUCUACUCACUUCUUGAACACUUCCAGGGAUUAUGACUCCCCUGGGCAGCCUGUUCCAAUGUUUAAUUAUUCUUCUAGUGAUGGAUUUUUUUUCCUAAUAUGCAACCUGAACCUUCCCUGGCAAUUGUUGCAUUUAGAUUUUUUUUUAAUCAAAAAGGGGGAAAAUUAAGUACACUGUUUCAUUUUCCAGUUCCCCUUAUAAUCCCUUUCCCUCAUCCUCUAAGCACWCAUUAUUGUCCCCUAACUUCUUUUUUAGGAGAUUCCUCCCCCAGAGAGAUUAGUCCCUUCAGUUCUCUCMAAAAACAGAGUAGGGAGAUUAAUCCUUCUAUUUAAUCAAAGCUUAAAUGUUGUUGGGUGUUUUUUUCCCAUGUGACUGUGCCCUUGAAGUGUAAGAUUUGUUUCUCCAAAGGUUUUUUACCCUAAUUGCUUCCCCACAUUGCAGAUGCCAGUGGCAUUUAAUUCUCUGACUUAGGACAUUUUCUUUGGUUAGUUAUUUCCCAAUUAAUCAAAGCUUUGAAUACCUUGACUUAGUAGAGCUUUAUUGGUAAUUAGUUWCACCUUCUGUGUAAUAUGUGACUGGACACUUAAAAGGCAGAAGCUUUAAGUAUUUUACCAAGAACCYUUUUGUCCUUCCAUGAGGAAGUUUUACAUGGCAGGAGAGGAAAGUAAGGAGUUAAGGAAGGCACAGUGGACAAUGAGCUUAGAGGAGGGGACUGAAAAGUAAACAAAAGUUAAAGUACAACUACUCUAAAAUUGAGGGUCAUGAUCAUCAGCAUUUCUUUCCUUUCUUGUAAAAGACUGGCAAUGUUUUGUCCCUUCCAAGAAACACUCAGCACUUUUUCUGUUUUACCUUUGUUCUCACUUUGACUUCUUUUUACACUGAAAAAGCUUAAAUAAGGUGUUGUAGUUUAUUGGGGUUUUUUUGGUUUUUUGUUGGUUUUUUUUAAUGAGCAAAACUUUAAUGGUAUCUCCUUCAUACUAAACAAAGGCCAAGCCUUAUUGUCAGUCCUUUUCAGAACACCAGUGAGUGACAAUGACUUUGAAGACUGUCUUGCAGCUCUUCAGUGCUACCUCUGUCAGAGCAGUAUCUUUGCAUUUCAUUACUGRAAAGAACAUUUAUUUGAAAGCCACUGGCUGACUAUUUGCUUACAAAAUCUCGUUUAACAUUUGUGUUCAAAUCUGUUGCUGAAUAAACACAUGAA
Malurus melanocephalus (red-backed fairy wren) is the source of this 3409-nucleotide long non-coding RNA. RefSeq lists it as uncharacterized. The record is from RefSeq and is a predicted model, not a curated record. NCBI's taxonomy places the organism in Eukaryota, Metazoa, Chordata, Aves, Passeriformes, Maluridae. The transcript is spliced from 3 exons.